UCAAGUUCAAUCAGGAAGGCUGAUCAAGUUCAAUCAGGAAGGCUGGUCAAGUUCAAUCAGGAAGGCUGAUCAAGUUCAAUCAGGAAGGCUGAUCAAGUUCAAUCAGGAAGGCUGGUUUAUGCUUGUUUAACUUCAUCCAGUAAGAAUAAUAUAAUUCACUUUGUAUCCCAGUAUUCAUAGUGGAAAUGAAUACAAACGUAUCAUCAUCAUCAUCAUCAUCAGUUUCUUCUCCUCUUUCCUAUUAGCCAUGUGUGGCAUGUCAGUCACCUAUUUACCUUAUAG
This 282-nucleotide long non-coding RNA is filed under the name Salmo salar (Atlantic salmon). Its description in RNAcentral is "lncRNA (ENSSSAG00000109725.1)". Lineage: Eukaryota; Metazoa; Chordata; Actinopteri; Salmoniformes; Salmonidae. The record is from RNAcentral.